Molecule: long non-coding RNA, 559 nt
Filed under: Sinocyclocheilus anshuiensis
Lineage: Eukaryota; Metazoa; Chordata; Actinopteri; Cypriniformes; Cyprinidae
Description: lncRNA (ENSSANG00000015343.1)
Source: RNAcentral
UGUGCGAGUGUGUGUGUGUGUGUGUGUGCGAGUGUGUGUGUGUGUGUGUGUGUGUGUGCGUGUGUUCGUGUUUUCACUUUAGCGAGCUCUGUCUUCUCUUUUCCCUCUGUAGCACUCAGAUGAAAACACGCGAUCAGAAUGCUGUUGUAACGCUACAGCAGGUCUUUCCUUCACAUAAACUGAUCUCAAUGGACUGGAAAGACAGUGAAGGUGUUUAUUCCUCAAGGAGGAGCUGAGGAGUUUGUCUGAAGAGCUGGCUCAGUGUCAGAAAGUGACGGCACAGGAGAAGGAGAUAAACAGCCGGGUUCAGCGGUUGCGUGGCAGUGCGGUCUAAUGAAGAAAGAACUGGCAGCUCUGCAGCACACACUGGGGAAUAAGAGUCGACAACUUAAGGUUUGGACAGAUUUCCACUGGCACCACUUGUAAAGCUCUGCCUCUGUGCCUGUGACACCGGGAAGAGAGGGAGGGGAAAAACUGAGAAGCCCCUGGAGGCAAUCGCCUACGGCCUCAAAAUCCCGGGUUGGGGCGCCAGCGACAGCGGAGCUCGGACAAGCAGCAG